Molecule: long non-coding RNA, 1049 nt
Filed under: Oreochromis niloticus (Nile tilapia)
Lineage: Eukaryota; Metazoa; Chordata; Actinopteri; Cichliformes; Cichlidae
Description: lncRNA (ENSONIG00000033097.1)
Source: RNAcentral
AUGCAAGAGAGAUUCCGAUUUUGGGGCUAUGCCUUCAGCCUAAGAGAGAGCAAAAUCUUUUUCUACCAGCUAAAAGGAGGUGAAAGUUUUGGUCCCCUCACACCGCGGAUCGCCUUUACUUUGUCUAAUUGGGGUGUUUUGAGCCUCAUCGCUACACCCGAAGUGCAGAAGAGCCUGCGGGAAACGAGCUCGCAACAACCGAGAACCAGGGAUCAACAACAACUCGCGUCGCUUUCCCUAUGUGCAUAUCACUCGACUCUCAUUUAAGCCAGAUGUGUUAACCUGAUCCCUGCGAAACACCAGCUCUCCGUGGAUUUUGACCGCGAGUGACCGGAUGUUGUUUCCGGCCUGAGGUUGCCUGAAAUGCCGUGAGGCUCGUUUGAAAGAUUGCGCCCGAGACCAACUCCGCCUCCAAGGCGUGCCUACCUUUAGCUGCCACCAGUGAGAUAUCAGAGCCGGGCUCCACAUAUCCAAUCAGGAGCACGAGCAAGACAGCUUUUGCAGACUCUCCAGAAAUAUACAAGUCCUUACCAACUGCUCUGCAACCCAGUGUUUCUGGUCCCCUCACCAACAUCGCUUUUUGAGAUAUUUUUUUUACGAACCACCAAAAAAGCAAUUUUACCCCCCAGUACAGAAGACUGGAUCUGAGGGCAGCAGCGGGGACAAAUGAUUGUAAUGAAGCGACAGACAUUUCAUGGCUGGUCUUAGAUAAUUGUGAGUCAUUGUGUCUUAUGGUGAAAAGUACAUAGUUUUGCAAGAGGCAUACAAGCACUGUGGAAAAAGUAAUCAUAAAACUGUUUUUGUGAACACUUUGCUCCCUACGUUAUGCUUUUAAAAUUUGAUACAUGUAAUGUGAUCAUCAAAGAACAUGUUCUUUUUAAAAACACUCAUUCUUAUGCUUUUAAACUAUGUCAGAUUAUCAUAAAACACUUAUUUGUAUGUUAUAAUGUUUUUCUUACACCAUGUGUAAUUUUCAUUCACACCUUGUUCAUUGUAUCAAUGUGUAAUUAUGUAUCUUUGAUAAAUAAAUAAAAUAUUUAAUCCUGUAU